Molecule: non-coding RNA, 47 nt
Organism: Pan troglodytes (chimpanzee)
Lineage: Eukaryota; Metazoa; Chordata; Mammalia; Primates; Hominidae
Source: Rfam
CUAAUGACUUUUCUUAAAGUCAUUUUAUAUACAAAAUAAAAUGAGCU